CCUGAAAGUGGCGAACGGGUGAGUAACACGUAGGUGACCUACCCCAAAGAAGGGGAUAACUACUGGAAACGGUGGCUAAAACCCUAUGGUUCUGACGACUGUGGAGGUUGUCAGAUAAAGACUCCGGUGCUUUGGGAGGGGCCUGCGUCCGAUUAGGUAGUUGGUGGGGUAAAGGCCUACCAAGCCGAUGAUCGGUAGCUGGUCUGAGAGGACGAUCAGCCACACUGGAACUGAGAGACGGUCCAGACUCCUACGGGGGGCAGCAGUGAGGAAUAUUGCACAAUGGGGGCAACCCUGAUGCAGCAACGCCGCGUGGAGGAUGAAGGCCUUCGGGUCGUAAACUCCUUUUCUGGGGGAAGAGGAAGGACGGUACCCCAGGAAUAAGUCACGGCUAACUACGUGCCAGCAGCCGCGGUAAUACGUAGGUGGCAAGCGUUAUCCGGAAUUACUGGGCGUAAAGCGCGCGCAGGCGGCCGAAUAAGUCUGACGUGAAAGCUCCUGGCUUAACUGGGAGAGGUCGUUGGAAACUGUUUGGCUUGAGGCAGUGAGAGGGGUGCAGAAUUCCCGGUGUAGUGGUGGAAUGCGUAGAUAUCGGGAGGAAUACCAGUGGCGAAAGCGGCACCCUGGCACUGAACUGACGCUCAUGUGCGAAAGCGUGGGUAGCGAACGGGAUUAGAUACCCCGGUAGUCCACGCUGUAAACGAUGAGUACUAGGUGUAGGCGGUAUCGACCCCGUCUGUGCCGAAGCAAACGCGAUAAGUACUCCGCCUGGGGACUACGGCCGCAAGGUUAAAACUCAAAGGAAUUGACGGGGACCCGCACAAGCAGCGG
This 831-nucleotide ribosomal RNA is filed under the name uncultured bacterium. RNAcentral describes it as "bacterial SSU rRNA". It matches the Rfam family "Bacterial small subunit ribosomal RNA", at positions 88 to 935 of the family's 1533-position model. The record is from RNAcentral.